This 67-nucleotide transfer RNA is filed under the name Marmota monax (woodchuck). Its description in RNAcentral is "tRNA.Ala". It matches the Rfam family "tRNA". From Rfam's summary of the family: Transfer RNA (tRNA) molecules are approximately 80 nucleotides in length. Their secondary structure includes four short double-helical elements and three loops (D, anti-codon, and T loops). The record is from RNAcentral. Lineage: Eukaryota; Metazoa; Chordata; Mammalia; Rodentia; Sciuridae.
GGUUGUAGCUCAGUGGUAGAGCGCUCGCCUAGCAUGUGUGAGGCCCUGGGUUCGAUCCUCAGCACCA